Coturnix japonica (Japanese quail) is the source of this 1419-nucleotide non-coding RNA. NCBI's taxonomy places the organism in Eukaryota, Metazoa, Chordata, Aves, Galliformes, Phasianidae. The record is from RefSeq and is a predicted model, not a curated record.
AGUGCAGCCGUCCCAUCCAGCCUGUUCUUUGCAAAGAGUGCUCUGAAUACAUCAGCCUUUUUCUGCAAGAACAGAGCAAAGUCCCCAGUGUGCUUCUUCUUCUGCAUGAGCAAACAGACCACGAUGGACUCCUGGCUGAUGGGUAGAGAAGUUCAGAAAGCUGCUGGGGAACACACAGUCUACAAGUUGGGACUGCUGAUGUUUGCUUCAGCCUGGUAUCCCAUAGUAGAGGCAUAAGGAUUAACCAGGCUUUGGAAGGGGAGCUCGUCUUGGUGUUGGGAUGGGCAUUUCUUUGGACACAAGGUGGGGUGAGAAGCCAUCAGCAAAGGAAGGAGAACCCAUUGGGAUGACCAAUGAUGUCAUCCCAGUUGACGACCAUGCACUUAAAUUGAAACGAGUGGCAUUCAGGUUAGCCAGCAGAAGAAUGUUUCUCAGGGCACGAUCAAGAAAAUGAAGCUCCAAUAUCAGCUGGGUGAAGAAGCCAUUGGAUCAAUACACAAGACUUGAGAUCCUCCACCCCGGCCCUGUGGAUUUGUUGCCUUCAUCCAUUGUACAUGUGGGCUGCUAUAGCUGGCAUAGCUCCCCAGAUACAGUUCAGGUCAUAUUCACCCACUACAGAGUGGCAGAAUAGGGACCAAGAAUGUGGCCAGGAAACUUCAGGACUUCAAAUGUGGCUUUUGAGCUCUGUGACUUCCUUCAGUCCCCGGCUGGAUCUAUUCUUGUGGCUUCCACUCUCUGCACACUGAUUGCCUGCUCCGGCUGUUGCAGGGCAGAAAGGCAAUAUAUCUGCCUUUCUAUAUACAGCUGAAUUGGCCUGAGCUUUACAAAGCUAAUCAGCCAUGAAAAUGCCCCUCCUUGCCAUCCUGGAAGAAUUGACUUUAAUGAUGAGAGACAUUCUCUUUCCAGCCUGGUCAAAAGGGUAGGAGGCCUUCUGGGGAGAUUGCAGCUUGUCCUUGAGAUCAUCCCAUGCAGUCUGAGGCCUUGCUCAGAGCUUUCUUUUAACCCUCUCCUACCCUGCAGUCAGGAAUUGCCAGAGCUGAACUGAUGCACUGACAAAAGGCCUCACUUGCUUUGUAAUUCCCUCUAUGAGAGAUCUUCUUUCAGCACUGAACUGCUGGUGGCUCCAUCUUCUUCCUCCUCUCUUGCACCCACUUCGCUCCUGGCACCUUUGGCCAUCAGGACUGGGUGCAGCAGAUGAUCUUUAGUGAUCUUUUCCAACCUUAAUGAUUCUAUGAUUUUGUGAUUUUACUUGUGUUUGGCCAAAGAAAACUGAUGGGAAGGCAGCAGGUUUCUGGGUUAUUUGUCCCACUGACAGCACAGGCAGAGUAUCCUCUCCAUGGAGGAGCAAGUGGUUGCCACUGUGGUGUCCCUAAGGAAACUGUGUGCAGUGGCUCGUGAUGGAGACCCUCAUAGAGGUAA